This 66-nucleotide transfer RNA is filed under the name Longitarsus candidulus. RNAcentral describes it as "tRNA-Glu". The record is from RNAcentral. Lineage: Eukaryota; Metazoa; Arthropoda; Insecta; Coleoptera; Chrysomelidae.
AUUUAUAUAGUUUAAUAAUAAAACAUUACAUUUUCAUUGUAAAAUUAGAAAAAUUUCUUAUAAAUA